GAUGAACGCUGGCGGCGUGCCUAAUACAUGCAAGUCGAGCGAACAGAUGAGGAGCUUGCUCCUCUGACGUUAGCGGCGGACGGGUGAGUAACACGUGGAUAACCUACCUAUAAGACUGGGAUAACUUCGGGAAACCGGAGCUAAUACCGGAUAAUAUAUUGAACCGCAUGGUUCAAUAGUGAAAGACGGUUUUGCUGUCACUUAUAGAUGGAUCCGCGCCUCAUUAGCUAGUUGGUAAGGUAACGGCUUACCAAGGCAACGAUGCGUAGCCGACCUGAGAGGGUGAUCGGCCACACUGGAACUGAGACACGGUCCAGCCUCCUACGGGAGGCAGCAGUAGGGAAUCUUCCGCAAUGGGCGAAAGCCUGACGGAGCGACGCCGCGUGAGUGAUGAAGGUCUUCGGAUCGUAAAACUCUGUUAUUAGGGAAGAACAAAUGUGUAAGUAACUAUGCACGUCUUGACGGUACCUAAUCAGAAAGCCACGGCUAACUACGUG
Molecule: ribosomal RNA, 497 nt
Filed under: uncultured bacterium
Lineage: Bacteria
Description: partial 16S ribosomal RNA
Rfam family: Bacterial small subunit ribosomal RNA
Source: RNAcentral